This 487-nucleotide ribosomal RNA is filed under the name uncultured bacterium. RNAcentral describes it as "bacterial SSU rRNA". It matches the Rfam family "Bacterial small subunit ribosomal RNA", at positions 28 to 511 of the family's 1533-position model. The record is from RNAcentral.
GAUGAACGCUAGCGGCAGGCUUAAUACAUGCAAGUCGAGGGGCAGCACGAAUAGCAAUAUUUGGUGGCGACCGGCGCACGGGUGCGUAACACGUAUACAACCUACCUAUAACAGGGGGAUAGCCUUUCGAAAGAGAGAUUAAUACCCCGUAAUAAAUUGAAUGGCAUCAUUUGAUUUUGAAAGCUACGGCGGUUAUAGAUGGGUAUGCGUCUGAUUAGCUAGUUGGUGAGGUAAUGGCUCACCAAGGCGACGAUCAGUAGGGGAUCUGAGAGGACUAACCCCCANACUGGUACUGAGACACGGACCAGACUCCUACGGGAGGCAGCAGUAAGGAAUAUUGGUCAAUGGAGGCAACUCUGAACCAGCCAUGCCGCGUGCAGGAUGACGGCCCUAUGGGUUGUAAACUGCUUUUGUACCAGAGAAAACCUACUCACGUGUGAGUAGCUGAUAGUAUGGUAAGAAUAAGCAUCGGCUAACUUCGUGCCAG